UACGUAGGGUGCAAGCGUUGUCCGGAAUUAUUGGGCGUAAAGGGCUCGUAGGCGGUCCGUCACGUCGGGAGUGAAAACUUGGGGCUUAACCCCAAGCCUGCUUCCGAUACGGGCGGACUAGAGGUAGGCAGGGGAGAACGGAAUUCCUGGUGUAGCGGUGAAAUGCGCAGAUAUCGGGAGGAACACCCGUAGCGAAGGCGGCACUCUGGGCCGGUACUGACGCUGAGAAGCGAAAGCAUGGGGAGCGAACAGG
Molecule: ribosomal RNA, 253 nt
Filed under: uncultured bacterium
Lineage: Bacteria
Description: partial 16S ribosomal RNA
Rfam family: Bacterial small subunit ribosomal RNA
Source: RNAcentral